AAGACUAUACUUUCAGGGAUCAUUUCUAAAUCAGAGACGUUUCUCUGAUUGUGUAAAGUACCGGAAACCACGAGGAGGAGGUGCAGUGCUUUCUCCUGAGCAUGAAGCUGGCUCUCAGUGUUGCUUUACUGCAACUGCCAUUUGCCACUGAUGAUCGUUCUUAUUCUCUUUUAAGGGAAUAAGAGGGAGAGAGCCCAGACUGAGUGGU
RNAcentral lists this small nucleolar RNA (208 nucleotides) under Castor canadensis (American beaver). RNAcentral's name for it is "Small nucleolar RNA U3 (ENSCCNG00000018299.1)". It matches the Rfam family "Small nucleolar RNA U3". From Rfam's summary of the family: Small nucleolar RNAs (snoRNAs) are involved in the processing and modification of rRNA in the nucleolus. There are two main classes of snoRNAs: the box C/D class, and the box H/ACA class. U3 snoRNA is a member of the box C/D class. Lineage: Eukaryota; Metazoa; Chordata; Mammalia; Rodentia; Castoridae. The record is from Rfam by way of RNAcentral.